Molecule: small nuclear RNA, 105 nt
Organism: Suricata suricatta (meerkat)
Lineage: Eukaryota; Metazoa; Chordata; Mammalia; Carnivora; Herpestidae
Source: Ensembl
AUGCUCACUUCAGCAGCACAUAUACUGAAACUGGGAUACAGAGAAGAGUAGCAUAGCCCCUGCACAAGGAUGACACAGAAAAAUACAUUUUAUGACUACAUUACU